AAUUUUGGACAAUGGGGGAAACCCUGAUCCAGCCAUCCCGCGUGUCUGGUUAAUGCCUUCGGGUUGUAAAGUACUUCUGGCAGAGAAGAAAAGGUAUCUCCUAAUACGAGAUACUGCUGACGGUCUCUGCAGCAUAAGCACCCGCUCACUACGUGCCAGCCGCCGCGGUAAUACGUAGGGUGCAAGCGUUAAUCGGAAUUACUGGGCGUAAAGCGUGUGUAGGCGGUUCGGAAAGAAAGAUGUGAAAUCCCAGGGCUCAACCUUGGAACUGCAUUUUUAACUGCCGAGCUAGAGUAUGUCAGAGGGGGGUAGAAUUCCACGUGUAGCAGUGAAAUGCGUAGAUAUGUGGAGGAAUACCGAUGGCGAAGGCAGCCCCCUGGGAUAAUACUGACGCUCAGACACGAAAGCGUGGGGAGCAAACAG
This 423-nucleotide ribosomal RNA is filed under the name uncultured bacterium. RNAcentral's name for it is "partial 16S ribosomal RNA". It matches the Rfam family "Bacterial small subunit ribosomal RNA", at positions 360 to 775 of the family's 1533-position model. The record is from RNAcentral.